CAUCACUUAUUCGUCCUCGGUGUCUGGUUCCUGGGCCGCCCGCCCCCAUCACUGCUGCGGAGGCCCGCCCCGCCCCUGCUCAGAGUCUGUGAGUGCAACAUGUAAACAGCUGAGCCAAGAAUUAAUGGAAAAAUAUGUAGAACUGAAGAAAAUGGAAGUACAUAACAAUGAGUACAGGGCAGAGAUUCAAAACCUGAAAGAACAGAUUUUCAGGCUGAACAAAGUUACAGUUCUGUACUAGAAGGAAUGAAGAUGGAAAUUUCCCAGCUAACUCGGGAGUUACAUCAGUGAGAUAUUGUGAUCGCUUCUGCCAAAAGUUCUUCCUCUGACAUGGAAAAGAGACUCAAAGCAGAGAUACAAAAGGCAGAAGAAAAGCAGUAGAGCAUGAGGUGAAACUUGAACAAAAACUCUUUGAAGUUUGUGAAGACUGAACUUACUAAAGAUAUCAUUUCCAUAGUAUUUAAUUCAGUCCGUUUUUAUUAGUCCCUUGUCUUGGGCUGAGGGUGUGCUGGCUAACAAGCUUCGUAGUGAGGAAUGGUGUGGAGGCGAGAGCAGAUACAGACAAUGAAAGAGGCCAUUUCUGUGGUGUGCAGUCAGAGUGCGAUGUGCUUGCUGUGACAAUAGGGCGCGAAUGGGCUGAGCAGCAAAGGAUGAAUGGGAAGUAGGGACCAGCUCCUGAAGGGCCCUGCCAGCUGCGCGGAGGAGCGUUAGUGUCAUCUUGAGGUCCAGAGAGAACAGGUUUAUUAAGCAGGAGUGAAAGGUCUCUGUGGUUGUCCUGUGGAGAAUAAGCACAGAGGCAGAGAGACCACUCAGAUGCUAUUACAGCAUUCAGGUGUUGGCCUGAUGGAGAAAGACAAGUGCUAAAUGAUUUCCCUUAUCUGUGGAGUAUAACAACAAAGUAAAACUGAAGGAACAAAACAGCAGCAGAC
This is a non-coding RNA of Manis javanica (Malayan pangolin), 929 nucleotides long. The record is from RefSeq and is a predicted model, not a curated record. Lineage: Eukaryota; Metazoa; Chordata; Mammalia; Pholidota; Manidae.